This 745-nucleotide ribosomal RNA is filed under the name uncultured bacterium. Its description in RNAcentral is "bacterial SSU rRNA". It matches the Rfam family "Bacterial small subunit ribosomal RNA", at positions 33 to 773 of the family's 1533-position model. The record is from RNAcentral.
ACGCUGGCGGCAGGCCUAACGCAUGCAAGUCGAGCGGUAGAGAGAAGCUUGCUUCUCUUGAGAGCGGCGGACGGGUGAGUAAUGCCUAGGAAUCUGCCUGGUAGUGGGGGAUAACGUUCGGAAACGGACGCUAAUACCGCAUACGUCCUACGGGAGAAAGCAGGGGACCUUCGGGCCUUGCGCUAUCAGAUGAGCCUAGGUCGGAUUAGCUAGUUGGUGGGGUAAUGGCUCACCAAGGCGACGAUCCGUAACUGGUCUGAGAGGAUGAUCAGUCACACUGGAACUGAGACACGGUCCAGACUCCUACGGGAGGCAGCAGUGGGGAAUAUUGGACAAUGGGCGAAAGCCUGAUCCAGCCAUGCCGCGUGUGUGAAGAAGGUCUUCGGAUUGUAAAGCACUUUAAGUUGGGAGGAAGGGUUGUAGAUUAAUACUCUGCAAUUUUGACGUUACCGACAGAAUAAGCACCGGCUAACUCUGUGCCAGCAGCCGCGGUAAUACAGAGGGUGCAAGCGUUAAUCGGAAUUACUGGGCGUAAAGCGCGCGUAGGUGGUUAGUUAAGUUGGAUGUGAAAUCCCCGGGCUCAACCUGGGAACUGCAUUCAAAACUGACUGACUAGAGUAUGGUAGAGGGUGGUGGAAUUUCCUGUGUAGCGGUGAAAUGCGUAGAUAUAGGAAGGAACACCAGUGGCGAAGGCGGCCACCUGGACUGAUACUGACACUGAGGUGCGAAAGCGUGGGGAGCAAAC